Molecule: ribosomal RNA, 890 nt
Filed under: Lophiostoma biappendiculatum
Lineage: Eukaryota; Fungi; Ascomycota; Dothideomycetes; Pleosporales; Lophiostomataceae
Description: eukaryotic LSU rRNA
Rfam family: Eukaryotic large subunit ribosomal RNA
Source: RNAcentral
CGGAGGAAAAGAAACCAACAGGGAUUGCCCUAGUAACGGCGAGUGAAGCGGCAACAGCUCAAAUUUGAAAUCUGGCUCCUCUGGGGUCCGAGUUGUAAUUUGUAGAGGGUGCUUUGGCGUUGGCUGUGGUCUAAGUUCCUUGGAACAGGACGUCACAGAGGGUGAGAAUCCCGUACGUGGCCGCCAGCCUCCGCCGUGUAAAGCCCCUUCGAUGAGUCGAGUUGUUUGGGAAUGCAGCUCUAAAUGGGAGGUAAAUUUCUUCUAAAGCUAAAUAUUUGCCAGAGACCGAUAGCGCACAAGUAGAGUGAUCGAAAGAUGAAAAGCACUUUGGAAAGAGAGUCAAAAAGCACGUGAAAUUGUUGAAAGGGAAGCGCUUGCAGCUAGACGUGCCUUGGGUUGAUCAGCCGGACUUUUGCCCGGUGCACUCUUCCUUUGGCAGGCCAGCAUCAGUUUGGGCGGCUGGAUAAAGGUCCGUUAAACGUGACUCCCUUCGGGGAGAGCUUAUAGGGUGGACGACACGCGGCCAGCCCGAACUGAGGUCCGCGCAUCUGCUAGGAUGCUGGCAUAAUAGCUGUAAGCGGCCCGUCUUGAAACACGGACCAAGGAGUCUAACAUCUAUGCGAGUGUUUGGGUGUCAAGCCCGAGCGCGCAAUGAAAGUAAACGGAGGUGGGAACCUUAGGGUGCACCAUCGACCGAUCCUGAUGUCUUCGGAUGGAUUUGAGUAAGAGCAUAGCUGUUGGGACCCGAAAGAUGGUGAACUAUGCCUGAAUAGGGUGAAGCCAGAGGAAACUCUGGUGGAGGCUCGCAGCGGUUCUGACGUGCAAAUCGAUCGUCAAAUUUGGGCAUAGGGGCGAAAGACUAAUCGAACUAUCUAGUAGCUGGUUCCUGC